CUAUAUUCAUGAAAGUUAUUUUAUCAUGUGGUGAUUUUUGUUAAGUUAUGUGUUUAAUCACUAACUUGUGACUAUGUUUAAUGCUAUGUUUAUGUCUUAUGUGUUAUACAAAUGAAAUGGUAAGUGUUUAAUAUGAAUUAAGAUAUGUUAUGAGAUGGAUGAUAAAUCCAAUUGAAUCAUGCUCUAGUAUAAUGGUUAUUCAUGUCAAAUUCAUAUGAAUCAUGUUUAAAUGAACUAACAUGUAUUGUUGAUGUGUUUAAGCUUAUGUCAAGCUUGUGGAU
This 281-nucleotide long non-coding RNA is filed under the name Gossypium barbadense (sea-island cotton). RNAcentral describes it as "long non-coding RNA (GBAR_LNC020976)". Lineage: Eukaryota; Viridiplantae; Streptophyta; Magnoliopsida; Malvales; Malvaceae. The record is from RNAcentral.